GGCUAGGGGUCAAAUCGGAGCUGCAGCUGCCAGCCUACACCAGAGCCACAGCCACACAGGAUCCGAGCCACGUCUGUGACCUACGCCACAGCUCGCAGCAACGCCAGAUCCUUAACCCACUGAGCAAGGCCAGGAAUCGAACCCGCAACCUCAUGGUUCCUAGUCGGAUUCACUAACCACUGAGACACAAUGGGAACUCCGUGUUCUUUAUUCAUAUCUUUGUUGGGGAGUAGGAUUAUGGAAAUGAGCAUUUUAGUUGCUUAGCCAUGUUUCUGUUGAUUUUUCAAUUUUGCUCUUUAAAAACCUCUUAAAAUUGAGUUUCUUGUUAACAGUUUUCUAAAGUAAUUGUGAUUCUAUCUCUGUUUGCUAUUUUUGUGAGAUACUGAUAUAUUUCUCCCAAUUUUAAAUUAAGUUAGGUAGUAAGGGCUCAUUAGACCUUGCCAAAUUAAUUUGGUUUUUUGAGUUUUUGCUUUUUUUUUUUUUUUUUUUUUUUUGUCUUUUUUUGCCUUGUAUAGGGCCGCUCCCGUGGCAUAUGGAGGUUCCCACGCUAGGGGUCUAAUCAGAGCUGUAGCCGCCAGCCUACGCCGGAGCCACAGUAACUCGGGAUCCGAGCCGUGUCUGCAACCUACACCACAGCUCACGGCAACGCCGGAUCCUUAACCCACUGAGCAAGGCCAGGGACCGAACCCACAACCUCAUGGUUCCUAGUCAGAUUCGUUAACCACUGAGCCAUGACGGGAACUCCUUAAUUUGGUUUUUUGAGGAUGAUUUGUCUUCAGGAUUGAGGCUGUGCAUAUGUUUAGUUUGAGUUUUUACAACAAGGACUGCCAGUUUAUCUAUGUAAGCAUCUGUUCCUGUGUGAACAGUUGAGAUCUAGUUCCUGAACCACCCUCCAGUGAAGGGGUUAUUUAUUUACUGUAGGACUCAAAAUUGUUAACAUUUAGAGCCUGUAGGGGGCUCCAGAAGGCAAAAUUUAGUGGGCCUUAGAGCAGUGACUGAAUCUUUUCACAACAAUUUAACAGCAGAUCAAACGUUUUUGCAUCUCAACCCAAAACAUCCAUAUAACAGACAGUGCUUACCCUUAAAACUCAAUAUGCACUGAUAUUUCUUUCUGUUCUUGUCAGGAUCCACUGUUUGGCUUUCAGAGUUGCAUUUUGGAAAAUGUUAGCUUAUUGAGUUGCAGGACAAGUUGGAUUUUUAAGUCACUCUUGCUGUGAUAUUGUCAAUUCUGUUUUACAUGUAAAAUGAUAAACUUUCUUUGCUUGGAAAAGUAGUCUGGAGUUUGAGGUUAACCUUUAAAAUUAAAGGUGAAAAUUAUAUAUAUAUCAGUUGAUUACUUAAUUGAUUACUUGAUGCUCUUGAGCAUGAAAGUAUUUUAUAGUUUUUAAAAUACACAACUGUGAAUGGCUUUUUAUUUUUUAUUUUUUAAAUUUUUUAAUAUUUUGGUCUUUUUGUCUUUUAGGGCUGCAUCCGCAGCAACAUAUGGAAGUUCCCAGGCUAGAAGUCGAAUUGGAGCUACAGCCGCCGGCCUACACCACAGCUACAGCAACUCGGGAUCCGAGCCAUGUCUGCGACCUAUACCACAGCUCACUGCAACGCCAGAUCCUUAACCCACUGAAUGAGGCCAGGGAUUGAACCCUUGUCCUCAUGGAUGCUAGUCGGGUUCGCUAACCACUGAGCCAUGAUGGGAACUCCGUGAGUGACUUUUUAAAUAUGCUUGGAGUUUUAUAUUUUUGUCAUUAUUUGUCCUGGGGAGGGGAUGGAAUACUAGUACAUUGGUGCUACUUUUUAUGAAAUCUAAGGCACUUUGUAGGGCUUAUUUUUUAAAAACCUACCCACAAAGUCCAUGCAACUACAGAUAUUUAGCCUGUGGUUCAAUAAAGAUUAUUUGGCUUUGAAUUUAAUUUUGCAUUUAGAGUUGACCUUAGCUAUCAUUCAAAACAAAUAUCUCAUAGGCUUGAUAUCUGUCAGAAAAUGGUAAAUAUUCCAAAAUCGUGCCAUUGAAUUUCAUCCUUUUCAAACAUAUUCUCCUGCAAGUUCAUAAGGAGUAGGAGAUAGUGAUAAACUCCUGUAUAAAAUAUAGUUACCUAAUCCUCACCACUUUCGUUAGUCUUAGGCAAGUGUGUCAUUUGUGUAUUCCCAUGUCUGAGCUUUUCUGGUUACUAAAAUAUAAAGAGAAAGAUGGGGAGGUGUCAGUGAGACGGUUGCCGUAUCUUCGGAGAUCCAUAGAAGAAAACUCUUUUAAGUUUGCAGAGUGAUGAAAUCAACACUGAUCAUGGAAAUAGAAGUUAUUUGUACAUUUCACUGUUUCUCUCUUGUCCUGUACAUUCCUUCUUGUUUCCUGCAGCAAUAAAACUCCCUUUCCUGUAACACCAUGGCGCCAAGUCAGUAUUUUCAGUUAAACAGGUCGAUAACGUUAAACUAUUCACUUGUGUAAAUUCAGUCCCAUUCCGUACAUGCAUGGGAUGCAGAUGUGAGCCGGGAAAAUUGCUCAGUACCUUGCCUGCAUUCUGCUUAGAGUAGCGCUUUGAAGAAAGCGCUCCCUUGUUCGCCUUUGAAAACUGAGUUUAGGAGAGAGUAAGUGGCUUUUUGGAAGUCACACGGCCUGUAGAAGCGGGACCAGGAUUGAACACAGGUCUGAAUCCAGAGCUCAUGCUCUUAGCCUCUGUGCUCUGCUGCUUCUCAUAAAAUGGAAUAUUGCAAGGCUAUAGAUUGUCACGGGUCUUUUUUAUUAGUGUCUGUCAAACACUGCCUUUCUGGCUCCAUCUAUCUCAUCAGCCGUGGAUUUGAACCAGGCUCCCUGGGGGACCAACACUAUGUUUUUAGGUAGUAUAUUGGAAACCGUGGAGCACAGUGUUUAUAGAUGCUAAUUUGUGGGGAAACAUUUUAAAGUAAUAAUUUUCUGUGACCUCUAUAAUGUACAGCCAGCCAAUUUGAUACAUUUCACAAUAAUUUGGCUAUAUCAUAACCUAUGUUUAUUUUAUUUUCAAUUUUAUCUUAAGUAUUUUCCCUGUGGCAAGCUGAAUUAUGAUAAUCUUGCAGUAUUUAUACCUUGCUUCUUUGUGGUUUUCAAUAUUUCUGAUGUCUUCUUCCUUUUAACCUUGGCAUUAAAAAAAGUCACGCUGUAUAUAAAUAAGAUGACGUGAUUUAAUUUAAUGAUGUUUUCAUAUAGUAUACUGAGUUUUCUAAGGAGAAAGUGCUGAGAACAGCAGUGUUUGUUUAUAGUUAUGUUUAUGACAUAGAUUUUUUUGAAAGAGUCUUCUCAGUGAGUAAAACUGAUGUUCAUGUCGUUCUGUUGUUUAUAGUUAUUUGAUUUUUCUCCAUGUUCAGAUUUCUUAGUUUAGUAAUGUCAUUCUAAAUCCCUGUGGCUUUCUAAUUUUAGUUUUUUUGGCAACUAUGAGAUGUUUAUUGACUACUAAUGAUAUGGUAAUAAUUGUCAUCUGCAAGAAGGAAAAGAAGAUGUUAGCACCCUUGGGAGAAAGGGGGCUUUUUAUUCUUUGACAGCCCUAAGGAAACUAAGCAUGUUCUAAUAGGUUCAACAGAAAAAGUUUGUUUUUUGUUUUUUUGUCUUUUGCCAUUUCUUGGGCCCCUGUCGCAGCAUAUGGAGGUUCCCAGGCUAGGGGGCGAAUUGGAGCUGUAGCCGCCAGCCUAUGCCACAGCCACAGCAACUCAGGAUCCGAGCCUCGUCUGUGACCUCCACCACAACUCACGGCAAUGCCAGAUCCUUAACCCACUGAGCAAGGCCAGGGAUCAAACCUGCAACCUCAUGGUUCCCAGUCGGAUUCGCUAACCACUGCGCCACGACGGGAACUCCCAGAAAAAGUUUUUUAUUCUUGACACAUUUAUCGGCCACUGGGGAUAUUUCCAAUAUAGGAACUAUCUCAGGGAAAGUGCUGAGACAAGAGAGAAUGAGUACAAAAUUCUGCUGGUGACAGUGUAAGUGUUGAGAAAGGUGUUUCCCCUAAAUUUUGGAUUCUGUCAUUAAAAUGAUCUCGUCAUCAGAUGUUAAAAAAGAAGCAUGUUUCCUCUUUUUAAAGCAUCAUCUGCAUAUUUUGCUUUGAAAUGUUAAAGAUGGGGAAGAAUUUUAUAUAGAGAACUUAAUUUCUUAGAAUUAUUUUUUUCUUUUGAAAAAUUUCUCCUAAUAACUUUAAAGCACUUCUCUCCUUGUGAUUUAUUUAAAUCUUAAUAAAUUAUACAUUUCUG
RNAcentral lists this long non-coding RNA (4203 nucleotides) under Sus scrofa (pig). RNAcentral's name for it is "lncRNA (ENSSSCG00000061423.1)". The record is from RNAcentral. Lineage: Eukaryota; Metazoa; Chordata; Mammalia; Artiodactyla; Suidae.